This 253-nucleotide ribosomal RNA is filed under the name uncultured bacterium. RNAcentral describes it as "partial 16S ribosomal RNA". It matches the Rfam family "Bacterial small subunit ribosomal RNA", at positions 524 to 776 of the family's 1533-position model. The record is from RNAcentral.
UACGUAGGUGGCAAGCGUUGUCCGGAUUUACUGGGCGUAAAGGGUGCGCAGGCGGCCGUGUGUGUGAGGCGUGAAAGCCUGGAGCUUAACUCCAGAAUUGCACCUCAAACUACAUGGCUAGAGCAUUGGAGAGGGUAGCAGAAUUCAUGGUGUAGCGGUGAAAUGCGCAGAUAUCGGGAAGAACACCCGUGGCGAAGGCGGCCGCCUGGGCCAGUCCUGACGCUGAGCCGCGAAAGCGUGGGGAGCGAUCCGG